UAAGCCAUGCGAGUCUGGGACGCCUCGUGCGUCCCGGCGCACGGCUCAGUAACACGUGGCCAACCUACCCUCGGGUGGGGGAUAACCCCGGGAAACUGGGGAUAAUCCCCCAUAGGCCUGGGAUUCCUGGAAGUGGGCCCAGGCCGAAAGGCUUUUGCCGCCCGAGGAUGGGGCUGCGGCCCAUCAGGUUGUAGGGGGUGUAACGGACCCCCUAGCCGACGACGGGUACGGGCCCUGGGAGGGGGAGCCCGGAGAUGGACCCUGAGACACGAGUCCAGGCCCUACGGGGCGCAGCAGGCGCGAAACCUUCGCAAUGCGCGAAAGCGCGACGAGGGGAGCCCGAGUGCCCUUCCUUUUGGGAGGGCUUUUCCGGAGUCUAAAAAGCUCCGGGAAUAAGGGCUGGGCAAGACGGGUGCCAGCCGCCGCGGUAAUACCCGCAGCUCGAGUGGUGGCCACUAUUAUUGAGCCUAAAGCGUCCGUAGCCGGACCCGUAAAUCCCUGGGUAAAUCCUGGCGCUCAACGUCAGGAAUUCCGGGGAGACUGCGGGUCUUGGGACCGGGAGAGGCCGGAGGUAUUCCCGGGGUAGGGGUAAAAUCCUGUAAUCCCGGGGGGACCACCUGUGGCGAAAGCGUCCGGCUUGAACGGCUCCGACGGUGAGGGACGAAGGCCAGGGGAGCAAACCGGAUUAGAUACCCGGGUAGUCCUGGCUGUAAACGCUGCCCGCUUGGUGUUGUCGGUCUCUCGGGGGCCGGCAGUGCCGGAGCGAAGGUGUUAAGCGGGCCGCUUGGGGAGUACGGCCGCAAGGCUGAAACUUAAAGGAAUUGGCGGGAGAGCACUGCAACGGGAGGAGCGUGCGGUUUAAUUGGAUUCAACGCCGG
RNAcentral lists this ribosomal RNA (878 nucleotides) under uncultured archaeon. RNAcentral's name for it is "bacterial SSU rRNA". It matches the Rfam family "Archaeal small subunit ribosomal RNA", at positions 45 to 921 of the family's 1478-position model. The record is from RNAcentral.